GAUGAACGCUGGCGGCGUGCCUAAUACAUGCAAGUCGAACGGGAACCAUGUUUUCGGAUAUGGUGAGAGUGGCGCACGGGUGAGUAACACAUGGCUGACCUGCCCUUCAGGGGGGGACAACCAGUGGAAACGCUGGCUAAUACCCCAUACGUUCUUCGGGAUUAGAAGCCGGAGAAGAAAGUGCUUAGCGCUGAAGGAGGGGGCUGUGGCCCAUCAGCUAGUUGGUAGGGUAACGGCCUACCAAGGCGAGGACGGGUAGGGGGCCUGAGAGGGUGACCCCCCACACGGGUACUGAGAGACGGACCCGACUCCUACGGGAGGCAGCAGUAAGGGAUAUUGCGCAAUGGACGAAAGUCUGACGCAGCAACGCCGCGUGCGGGAUGACGGCCUUCGGGUUGUAAACCGCUUUUCAGGGUGAAGAGGAAGGACGG
RNAcentral lists this ribosomal RNA (431 nucleotides) under uncultured bacterium. Its description in RNAcentral is "bacterial SSU rRNA". It matches the Rfam family "Bacterial small subunit ribosomal RNA", at positions 28 to 458 of the family's 1533-position model. The record is from RNAcentral.